GGGGGGGGGAAAUCUGCGUGGGGAUGGAGGGGGGGAAAUGCAGCCGCACAACUUUUCCUUAAAAAUAUAUAUAUAUGUAUGAAAUAAUAAUAAGGGGGGGAGCGCAUGCGCGGAGGGGGCGGCCCGGCGCAGCACGGGUGGGUCGGCCAAGGCUGGGCUAGAGCCAUAUUUAAUGAGCCGCGCUGCUAAUUGCGUGCACGAGGCUCGGCCUUGCACGCCCAUAGCCCCCCCUCCUUCCCCGCAGCCCCCCCCCUCCCCAAUGGCUCGGGCCGGCGGCCUCGGCCUGCUCCUCUGCGCGUUAAUUAAUUGCAAAGCGUUCGUAAUCACGAAGCGCGCCGAUUAAACAAGCAACACUUUGCAUCCCAAUGCUUUUCCUCUCUUUAUUGGGACGAUCGGAUCGCUGUAACGCGGCGCUUUGGGGGCACGGAGCUCUCCGGUGGGGUGGAGGGGGUCGGUUUUUGGGGUCACCCCCCGUUCCGCGGUCGCUCUGCGCUCUCUGUAAUUGAGAACCAUCGCUUUCGGGAGGGGCUCCGCUUUUCCUGCGAAGUGGUAGACGCGGUGAUGCCUUUUAGGUUUUAUUUGCGUGGAAGUCCCUCCUUUCCUCCCCCCCCCCCCCUUUCUCUCUCCCCCUUAUUCCCCCCCCCCCCCCCUUUUUUUUUUCUCUUCCCCUGCAGCAAUUUUAAUUCAGGUUUAACGCGUGAGAUUUAAUGGGUGACCCUUCCCCUGCUAACCUCCCCACCUACCUCUCCAUCCGCCUCCCUCCCCACCUACCCAUCCAUCAUCUAAUCUUAUCUAUCUCCGUGUAUACACCGCUGCCGUGCAAGGAGAUAUAUAACGCGGUGACUUCAUUUCCUCUCGAGGUUGCAGCUCCUUUUCUUCCUCGAGACAUUCCCCUGUGUUAAAGAAAAAAAAAAAUAACAGCAAUUAUUGUUAUUAAUAAUAAUGAAAAUAAAGCAAUGCGCGAGCAGAGAUUUGCUGCUGGGCUGCGCUAUGGGGUGCGCUCUAUAGGGCCGGACAGACGGACGCACAAGGAUAUAGGGGCGGCCAACAAAUAAACGAUAGAGCCCUGCGUGCAGGGGGUGGGGGAGGGGAGGCGAUUUUCUGCCUUUAAUUUUUCCUCCUUUCCUGGGGGCGAUUUUGGGGUGCAGCAGCGCUGGAACAGCCGGGAGGGAGGGAAAGGCUGCGCGAUGCUUCUCGCUUCGCUGUCUGUUUGCCUCGUUGGGCUUUUAAAAAUGAAUUAUUUCAAAUCAAUUUUUUUUUUCUUGCGCUUUCUUUCACCAAAAAUGGCCUCCCUGAUUUUAAUUUGCAGCGCGCGUUCGCAGAGGUUCAUUAGCGAAAGCGGCUGAAGUUCUCGGGUGGUUUCUGGCCCCGGUGCGAUCCGUCAAAGGAGUUCGGUGGAGGGGGGGGGGCAAAGGGGGGGGACAGGGAAUGAAAUGCGAACAAUAAUUAAAACAUAGGGACGGGUUGCGAAAGUUUCUCGGAGCCGUUCUCUGUUUUCUGCCCUUUGCUUUGGGGGAAUCGGGGAAAUCGCUACGUCGGCCUUCGGGGCUGGGAAUUAUCGGGAGCAAAAGCGGAGCUGCGCUCUGACGGGAGGGCUUCAGCGCAGCUGCGCGGAGCCAAAGUGCAUUUCCCCGCUUUAUCCUUAUUAUUCUUAUUAUUUCUCUGUUUCUUUAAUACAUAAACGGGCGGUUUGGGGUUGGGAGGAGAAAUGAAAGGGAAGAAAAUAAAGAGGAAAGGGACGGUUUUGCUGUCGUUUUGUUCGCUGGGAAGAGGGGAAAAAAAAAACCCACAACGAGCACCACCCGGCGUUGUGUGAAGGCUGCGCCUCCAACUCGAGUCGUAAAGACAUUUUAUGAGCAAACAAUGAGUGUUUAUUGGAACCACAUGAUUACAGAAAUGGGAUCUUUUAUUGUUUUCAGACCGAUCCCGUCUGUCCCCCACCUCCCCCCCACCCCCCUCCCGACCCGGGGCCGUUCGCUCCCCGUUUCCCUGAGGCCUGGAGCCGAACCCCAACCUCGUUUUUGAGGCGCUGAUUUUCGGUUUCCCCGCCGACGUUGUCGCCCUUCGGAGAGGAGCAGCGCCGAGAAACAUUUCAGGGCGCGGAGAUGGAAAAAAGCGAUGAUUUAUGUGCGCCGAAUUGGUUUUUUUGUGUGUGUGUGUUUGGUUUUUUUUCCCCUCUCUUCUUUUUCCCGAACUGAAGCAGAGGAAAUAAAUUGCGCCGUAUAUCGAUACCAGCAGCGCUCGGGAGGGAUGCAGGAAAAGCGCCACGUGUUAUUGAUACGGACAGGGGAAAUAACAGAAAGAACAAUAACAGAAAGAAGCGCUCCUCGACAGAUGGAGUGGGGGGAAAAAGAAAUAAUAAUACAGGAGGAGGAUCGGACAGAAAUUGAAAAUUGGAAACUGCGCCGUUCCAAACGCCGCCGAAUGUGUUUACAGCGCCGUUUGAUGUCGAAGUAUUGAACGCGGAGCUGUACGCCCGUGGGGGCGUAAAUGGGGCUGGGAGGGGGGGUGAAGGUUUGGGGUGCGUUGGGAGAGGUGCGCGGUGCUCUGCGCGCAACAGUGGGCGCAGCCUCGGGGUUACAGCAGCGCUCGACCCAACGCAGCGCCGCGCGGACGCGUUGUGCCAAAUCCGCGUUGUCAGUGCCGGCAAAAAAAAAGCCCCCCCCUCCCCAAAACCCCAACAACAACAAAAAAAACCCAACUUGGAACUACAAAGAAGCGAUGAUAGGAAGGCGAUUUCCCAACUUGUCGUGUGUGAAGGAAUUCGGGUCGGGGAACGAAUCAAACAAACCCACCAGAAAGAAUAGAUGAUCUACGGCCGCUGCGCCGCGUUAGGUGCGGUGCGGGACGCGGCCGCGCAUGGGUCGAUUUUCAGUGGGGCCGCCGGUCUGGGUUUUUUUUUUUGCGCCAAUAAAUGUCACGAUUGUCAGUUUAUUCCUAUCCUUCUUCUCAUUUUUGGCCGUGUUUCCGGCCGCAGCUUUAGCGCGGCGAAAGGGUUUGGAGAGGGAAAUGUGCGGAGCUGAGCUUGGGAGGGGGGAGAGAAAAAGCAGCGAGUGUCAGGGCGAUAAAAAUAAUUAGUCAUAGAGGGAAAUUAGACUUUGGGAAGAGCUGCUGCGGAACAUCGGGGAUUAGGAGUUUGGUUUUUUUUUCUCUUAGGAGAUUUGGAGAUUUUCUGACUGUGGUUCGCGGGGCUGUAAUCCCCGCAGUGCGAAGGGGGGGGGGGGGGGGAAUAAAGGGAAUGGGGGGGGAAGGGAAAAAAAGAGUUGGAAUUGUCAGUGUUUGUGUUGAGGUCAGGGGUAAAAAAGAAAAAAUAAGAGGGGAAAAAAAAAAAAAAAGGGCCUUUUCCUUUCGGAUUUGUGUUCGUCGGGAGAGAAAGCGUGGGGUCGGAUUUGGGGGGUAAAGGGAAGAAAUCGGGGCAAGAGAGCCCCGAAGUUUUUUGGCAGCAGAGCAAUGUGACCUCCAGGCGGGGGUGUGAGGGGGAAAGGGAGCUCGGGGGGGGGGGGGGGGGGGGGGAGGGGAGGGGGAAAGGAGGCGAAAAGCGGCCCAGUCUCCCUCCCCCUCCUCCCCAGACACAAACACGAAGAGAAAAAUCCCCACCAGCGCUUUGAUUUGCGCCGUUAUUAGAGGUGCACCCACACGCCCGUGUAGAACACACAUCUGUAUCCAUAGGCCACGUACCCCCCCCUUCCCUCACACCCCCCCCAGCCCCCCCCCCGGUGCAUCCCGGCCUCUCCCCGCUCUCUUCUCCCCAAACCCAUUCCUUGAAGCGGAGCAGCGCAACAACAAACAAACGUUGAAGGCCAUUUCCCACCGCCCCGCAGCAAAAAUCAAUAGGAAGAAAAGCGAAGUGCUUCCCCCCCCCCCCCCCGCCCCC
RNAcentral lists this long non-coding RNA (3874 nucleotides) under Gallus gallus (chicken). The record is from RNAcentral. Lineage: Eukaryota; Metazoa; Chordata; Aves; Galliformes; Phasianidae.